CUUUGUGAUUCAUGACUGGGGUGAAGUCGUAACAAGGUAGCCGUAGGGGAACCUGCGGCUGGAUCACCUCCUUA
Molecule: ribosomal RNA, 74 nt
Filed under: Bacteroidota bacterium
Lineage: Bacteria; Pseudomonadati; Bacteroidota
Description: partial 16S ribosomal RNA
Rfam family: Bacterial small subunit ribosomal RNA
Source: RNAcentral